RNAcentral lists this ribosomal RNA (301 nucleotides) under uncultured bacterium. RNAcentral's name for it is "partial 16S ribosomal RNA". It matches the Rfam family "Bacterial small subunit ribosomal RNA", at positions 509 to 807 of the family's 1533-position model. The record is from RNAcentral.
CAGCCGCCGCGGGAAUACGAUGGGUGCAAGCGUUAAUCGGAAUUACUGGGCGUAAAGCGUGCGUAGGCGGUUUGUUAAGUCUGUUGUGAAAUCCCCGGGCUCAACCUGGGAAUGGCAAUGGAUACUGGCAAGCUAGAGUGUGUCAGAGGAUGGUGGAAUUCCCGGUGUAGCGGUGAAAUGCGUAGAGAUCGGGAGGAACAUCAGUGGCGAAGGCGGCCAUCUGGGACAACACUGACGCUGAGGCACGAAAGCGUGGGGAGCAAACAGGAUUAGAUACCCGGGUAGUCCCUGUCUCUUAUAC